UGCGGAGUAGCUCAAGUGGACAAGAGCGUUGGUCUCAUAAACCAAAGGCUGCGGGUUCAACUCCCGCCUCCGCAA
This 75-nucleotide transfer RNA is filed under the name Acidobacteriota bacterium. RNAcentral describes it as "Acidobacteria bacterium (soil metagenome) tRNA-Met". It matches the Rfam family "tRNA". From Rfam's summary of the family: Transfer RNA (tRNA) molecules are approximately 80 nucleotides in length. Their secondary structure includes four short double-helical elements and three loops (D, anti-codon, and T loops). Further hydrogen bonds mediate the characteristic L-shaped molecular structure. tRNAs have two regions of fundamental functional importance: the anti-codon, which is responsible for specific mRNA codon recognition, and the 3' end, to which the tRNAs corresponding amino acid is attached (by aminoacyl-tRNA synthetases). tRNAs cope with the degeneracy of the genetic code in two manners: having more than one tRNA (with a specific anti-codon) for a particular amino acid; and 'wobble' base-pairing, i.e. permitting non-standard base-pairing at the 3rd anti-codon position. Lineage: Bacteria; Pseudomonadati; Acidobacteriota. The record is from RNAcentral.